AAAGCUCUGACCUCGCUUUUCUUUUUCAGCAUCACAGACCUGGCUCCCUCCUGGGGACAGGUUACUCGGUCUGUGGAAAGCAGCUCUGCCUUCUACGGAACAAAGGCAUCCCAAAAGAUCAGCUGUACAACGUCACUUCAUAUUCCUUAGGUUAGACGAUUAUAACUCCAUCUGAACAAGAAAUCAGAAAUACUUUCUUCUUGAUCACAUGACUGAUCUUCUGGUACCUCCUCAACCUGUGCAGGACUACCGCCAAACUUGUUCCCACUGAAGCUGUGACAAAGACUCUUCCAAGUCCUUUGAGCUGAAGCUGGGAUGUGCCAUCACCAUCCUGCAAGAAUCUGAACUCGUUCAAAGAGUUGCUCCAACCCCUAACCCCGCAAGAUCCUGAGGGUGACAGGAGGAUGCCAACCCCCCCACAAUACACCUCUCUGCACUGGCAGGCUAAGGAGUGGAUCCAAAACGAUUUCUGCAAUUUCACAGGAGCCAGACGGCAAAAUAUUCCCUACCAGUAAAGUGAACACAAGCCUGAACACACUGGAAUUCAAGGAGAAAAUUGUAGAUAUACAAAACUUACAAUAAAUCCUUUCCCAAAUUACA
This 600-nucleotide long non-coding RNA is filed under the name Numida meleagris (helmeted guineafowl). RNAcentral describes it as "lncRNA (ENSNMEG00000014114.1)". The record is from RNAcentral. Lineage: Eukaryota; Metazoa; Chordata; Aves; Galliformes; Numididae.